This 253-nucleotide ribosomal RNA is filed under the name uncultured bacterium. RNAcentral describes it as "partial 16S ribosomal RNA". It matches the Rfam family "Bacterial small subunit ribosomal RNA", at positions 524 to 776 of the family's 1533-position model. The record is from RNAcentral.
UACGUAGGGUGCAAGCGUUGUCCGGAAUUAUUGGGCGUAAAGGGCUCGUAGGCGGUCCAUCGCGUCGGGAGUGAAAAGCUGGGGCUUAACCCCAGUCCUGCUUCCGAUACGGGUGGACUAGAGGUAGGUAGGGGAGAACGGAAUUCCUGGUGUAGCGGUGAAAUGCGCAGAUAUCAGGAGGAACACCUGUGGUGUAGACAGCUUACUGGACCACUUCUGACGCUGAGACACGAAAGCGUGGGUAGCAAACAGG